RNAcentral lists this unclassified non-coding RNA (654 nucleotides) under uncultured Amanita. RNAcentral describes it as "sequence contains ITS1, 5.8S rRNA gene and ITS2". The stretch from base 231 to 384 matches the Rfam family "5.8S ribosomal RNA". The record is from RNAcentral. Lineage: Eukaryota; Fungi; Basidiomycota; Agaricomycetes; Agaricales; Amanitaceae.
AAUUGGGGUGGCAAGGCUGUUGCUGGCUUGAAUGAGCAUGUGCACGUCUUUUGUUGCUUAUUUCAUUCAUCUUUCCUCCUGUGCACGUUUUGUAGACACUUGGGAAUGAGAGGUUGGUUGUAAUAUAAUGAUUGACCUCUGGGUGUCUAUGGCAUUUUUAUAAACACGACUGGAUGUGUAUAGAAUGAGAUUGUAGGUUUUUAAUAAAAAGCCAUUAAAUGAUAAAGUACAACUUUCAACAACGGAUCUCUUGGCUCUCGCAUCGAUGAAGAACGCAGCGAAAUGCGAUAAGUAAUGUGAAUUGCUGAAUUCAGUGAAUCAUCGAAUCUUUGAAUGCAUCUUGCGCUCCUUGGUAUUCCUAGGAGCAUGCCUGUUUGAGUGUCAUUCAAGCAUCUCAUAAGGUCCUUAUGCAGCAUGCUGGGAACUUUUGGACGUUGGUAGUGGCUGGUGACUGAUAAAGUGGCUGGCUCUUCUGAAAAGCAUUAGUUGAGGAGAUUUUUGUGCUCUAUUGGUGUGAUAGACUAUCUAUGCCAGGAGAAGCAUUGUGAGGCCUCUGCUGUCUAACACUCGUAAUUGUACAAUAUGAUAAACUUGACCACCAAUCAUGUAGGACUACCCCCUGAACAUCUUCAUAUUAAUAAUCGGAGGAAGAAU